Molecule: ribosomal RNA, 442 nt
Filed under: uncultured bacterium
Lineage: Bacteria
Description: partial 16S ribosomal RNA
Rfam family: Bacterial small subunit ribosomal RNA
Source: RNAcentral
CCUACGGGAGGCAGCAGUGGGGAAUAUUGGGCAAUGGGCGCAAGCCUGACCCAGCAACGCCGCGUGGAGGAAGAAGGCCCUCGGCUUGUAAAGUUCUGUUAUCAGGGAAGAGUAGAAGACGAUACCUGACGAAUAAGCCACGGCUAACUACGUGCCAGCAGCCGCGGUAAUACGUAGGUGGCAAGCGAUGUCCGGACUUACUGGGUGUAAAGGGCGUGUAGCCGGGUUGACAAGUCAGAUGUGAAAUCCUGCGGCUUAACCGCAGAACUGCAUUUGAAACUGUUGCUCUGGAGUACUGGAGAGGCAGACGGAAUUCCUAGUGUAGCGGUGAAAUGCGUAGAUAUUAGGAGGAACACCAGUGGCGAAGGCGGUCUGCUGGACAGCAACUGACGGUGAGGCGCGAAAGCGUGGGGAGCAAACAGGAUUAGAUACCCUAGUAGUC